GAACCUGAGACAGCCCUGACUGUGAACCUGAGCCAGCCCUAACUGUGAACCUGAGCCAGCCCUGACUGUGAACCUGAGCCAGCCCUGGCUGUGAACCAGAACUCCCACAAGCGUUGGAUGUUUGCUUUCAAAGUGGCACAUUCAUUUUGACGGCUUCAAUGCUUUGUUGGAGAGCGUUAGUCCACACUCCACACACUGGGCUCUCGGCUCCGCCUCAUUACCUCCGUUUACGAAGCCGUACUUAAUAAAGUCAGGACGGUAUUUGCGCACAAGUUUGGACUUUUGAUGGCACAAAGAAUAUCGACAUCCAUUUGUGCAUCCGGUGAGGGGUAAAUGGGGGACAUUACGGCAAAGAGAAAGAUACCCCAGGUCUAAAUCAGGGUCGCCCCAACCCAACAGAAUCCACAAUCAUUUAUCACUCUGCCAUUUCCUAAAAGGAAUGUCAUUCUGCGGGAAAUCAAAACAAAAUCCCAAACAAGCUUCUUCUCUGGCAAUUUUCAUCCAUUUACUUGUCAGGCUGAGCUUUUAAAGACGCCAGACUUCAGCUGACACUCUUCAGCAGGCAAACAAAUUACAGAGCAACUCUUCAGCUGAGGACACAAAGACAAUCACAGACUCACAUUCACGUUCAUCCUUCAGUCAACAAACGCUGCCUUCGUGGUUGGCCCUUCAGCUGGUAAAUAUGAGCGCACGAGAGGGGGUCUUUUGGUUUAAACGCGGCAGCUAAUGAAUCUUUUACUCACCUCAGAGUGCUCAAACAAGGGACAAGAAGACUGGCAAACUGGUCAAUAAUCAGAUAUAAAAUAUGGCGAAUAACUCUCUUGAAAACCCGGCAAUCUCCUGUGAAAAGAGCAAAGAUAUUGUGUUUAUAACUUUGACGUUUAAUUCAUUUAAUUCAAUUAAUUUUAUUUUGUAUAGACCAAAAUCGCAAAUUACAAAUUUGCCUCAGAGGGCUUUACAGUCUGUACACAUACAACAUCCUCUGUCCAGAAACCCUCCAUCGGCACAGGAACAACUCCCCAAACAAUGAAAAAACCUUCCAAGAGGGAAAAAAAGGGUAGAAACCUUAGUGAGAAGGUCAGAGGAGGGAUCCGUCUCCUGAUGGACAGACUACAAUGGAUGCCAUGUGUACAGAACAAUGUAUAAUACAUGCAAUUACAUGACAUUGUGUUCAUCACCAUGGUUUGUGAUGGAAGAUUUGCACAGACAAUCGGAAAAUCUCUGUGGGUAACAUUUUAUUAACAUUUUAUUAACACAUUAACAUUAAUUAAUUUCUGAAUCAAAUGUCUUUCUCCAUUUAUUUCCUUGCUAGGAGACAAGGGUCACAACAGCUACGUGCUCAGUAGACUGUUACACAUUUUUGUCCCAUCACGUUAUUUUACAUUUAGUUUCUAGGCUCGUCUUAAAGGGAAGAGAAGUUUAAAGCAAGAUUAAAACUAAAGUGAAUGCAAAGAAGCAGGUAAACAUGAUAGAAGUGUUCCUGACUGCCACGCCCACCUGUGUCAGCGGGUCAAAGGUAGCAAAGGAAGCAAAUAGAGGGUAAACUAAAUCGGUCCAAGCCCAGAACCUUCUGGGACUCUGUGACCAACAUUGGUGGUCAUCGCUGAUCGACCAUUUACAAACACCAACUGGAUCGAUCCAAUAAAUACGACUAAAACCAGCUGAGGGCGGUUUGUUUAAUACCAGUCAAAUGUUCUAGUCUCUGCAACAGGAUACAACGAUCAAUUGUGUCAAAUGUGGCACUGAGGUCCAGUAAGACAAGAAAAGAGAUGAGUCCUUGGUCCGAUGAUUGAAACAUGAAAGAAAAAGUCAUUCAAAAAACAACGUUAAAAAACUAAAAAUAGAAUAAAUUCUGCAGUGUAGUUUAAAAGUACCAAAAUACUAAACACAGUAAAUUAAAAGCAGCAUCCAACAGAAGUCUUUAAUCUAGAUUUAAAGGAGCCGAGGGACUCCGAAAAGUACAGCGAGAACAAAGUGAUGUUAAUAUAUUUUAAUGCUGUGUUUAUGAAUACACAUCCAAGUUUGCCGAUCUUUGUUCUCUAUUUGUGUUUGAAGCAGAACAGGAGGAGAUCCUUUGUUCUUCUGAAGGGUUGGAAGAUUCUAUGAUAUAAAUAGCUCUUACCCACAGACGUUUGUCAUGGACAACUUGAUCUCCAGUUGUGAAUACUGAAGGUCACAAUAAUCUCACUUUUGUAGGACACCCGAGGAGUUGAAAGCUCCUGCUGAAGUCACUCUGGAGACUGAAGAUGACUUCCUCAUCAUCGUCCUCUUCCUCUCUCGUCACAUCUGAGUCUUCACAGGUAACUCUCUUCUGUUCCUUCUUCCUUAUUUGAGUCUUUUUUUAAUGAAGUAGAGCGUUGCUUCUCUUACAGCUGGACCUCCGUACUGGAGAAGCAUCUGGAAACUCUAACAAACACCUGUCACUAAAAGCAGUAAAGCACAGAGUGGGAAAGCAACUAAAUGAAGCUUAGGCGAAAAAACGGUUCUCCUCUCUUGUGCCGUCAGUUGUCAUUUCAGCUCGCUCCAAAGGUGACCCGCCACCACCCCCAAAGGUGACCCGCCACCACCGCCAAAGGUCACCCGCCACCACCCCGGACACCUCCAGUCUACAGCAGAACCUGGCGUAGCAGGAGAAUUAUGCAACGUGGGCUCUACCACCACCACCAGUGUCUGGACUCCCAAGGGGGGGAUGUGCCUCGUCUCGGCUCGAGAUCCCGGCCCCGGCUCUAUUCUGCGGCAGGAUGGAGUCCAAGCCCCAAACAACUUGCAAUAUCAUAUUAUACCUGUUAUAAUAAAGCAUUAUUCAAAUUUCAACAAGUCUCUCCGGAUUGAAUUACAUUUACUCAAAGGAGGACCAUUAUGAUGUACUCUUCUGUUUUCAGCUUCCUCCUGCCAGACAUAACAAGACAAAAUGAUGUCAAAAAGACUGUAAUUACAACAACAGGAUGUCCUGAAAACUGUGACAAAAACAACAAGAUGUUCACCAGACUGUGAUGAAGACAGAGCGUUCUUGAGAGAGGAGGAUGUGCCCUCAGGAUGAAGACCAUCGGGUGUCAGGGUAUUCAAUUGUAUAUUACUAAAGCUCGCUCAAUCACACACGCACCCCGCGCACACACACACACACACACACACACGCACACGCACACGCACACACGCACACACACACACACAUGCACACCCCCCGCGCACACACACGCACGCACACACGCACACACAUGCACACCCCCCGCGCACACACACACACGCACCCAUGCACGCACCCACACACACACGCACACACACACACCACCCCGCACGCACCCACACACACACGCACACACACACACCACCCCGCACACACACACACGCACACACACACACACACACGCACCCAUGCACGCACCCCGCGCGCACACACACACGCAUGCACCCCGCGCGCACACAUACACACACACACACGCACCCAUGCACGCACCCCGCGCGCACACACACACCCCCGCCCCCCCCCCUUUUACAUACACACAAACAGACGCACCCCAGGCCCUUUCGACCUCACCAUUCACAGAUGAAAGGAAACAGGUUUAAUUGUUUCAUGUGUAAUUCUUUUGGUUGCAGAACAAAAACAGCUCAUGUUCUUUUGAGGAUUCAUGUUUUCAGUCAGCAAUGUUCCCUUUAGCAUUAUAUUGUAUAAAAAAAUAUUCCUAUCUUUAUAUGUAUAGAGGUUAUAUAUCUGUAUACUAUAACACGGGUAGAUGCAAUCCAGUGUUCUGAUUGGUUGAGAGUGAGUCAUGGGGGCUCUAUAAUUGGGCGAUAAUGUACAGUACCUGUUCACAUUGACCGAACGUUCCACAUCACUGCGCACUCAAAGUAACAGGUUAGCUUUCGCGCGACUGAUUGACAUUUUAGCUUUUAGCUCGGUGCCGAUCGCAGAAAAAAGACCGAAAAAAGUCCCACAAAUGAUCAGUUUCAGGCAAUGCGAACUUUUGCAACCGGACAAUUAAGGUGGACGUCAUCGAAUGAACCCAAUGCGGUUUACAUGCACGUACAGGGAGUAUUUUUCUGUAGACUACUGAAAUGAGAUACACAAUGUUUGGUGGCUACAACUAUUUUGUGCUAAAAGGCAACUAUUUACUUAAUAUUUAUAAUUUCGCUGGUACCGUAUUAUAAAGGCAACUUAUUGCUUAAAUCUACAGAGGUUAUAUAUCUGUAUAUCUAUAGAGGUUAUAUAUCUUUAUACCUACAAAUGUCAUAUGUAUACCUACAAAGGUUAUAUAUCGGUAAGGUUGUAUGUCGUUAUGUCACAAAGUUGAUCGCACUUUUUUUUCAUCUUACCUGCAUGUUUUCUUACUCUUGUCAUUUCAGAUCAUCCCACAUUAUGAGCUCAUUACGCACACCUGGUUCUCACCUGCAGCACAUCCACUCAU
Long non-coding RNA from Gasterosteus aculeatus aculeatus (three-spined stickleback), 4403 nucleotides. Lineage: Eukaryota; Metazoa; Chordata; Actinopteri; Perciformes; Gasterosteidae. The record is from Ensembl.